GGUCCCGUAGUUCAAUGGAUAGAAUGCCAGAUUCCGGUUCUGGUGGUUGUGGGUUCGAAUCCCGCCGGGAUCA
Molecule: transfer RNA, 73 nt
Filed under: Bacteroides sp.
Lineage: Bacteria; Pseudomonadati; Bacteroidota; Bacteroidia; Bacteroidales; Bacteroidaceae
Also listed under: 1 other name
Description: tRNA-Arg
Rfam family: tRNA
About the family: Transfer RNA (tRNA) molecules are approximately 80 nucleotides in length. Their secondary structure includes four short double-helical elements and three loops (D, anti-codon, and T loops). Further hydrogen bonds mediate the characteristic L-shaped molecular structure. tRNAs have two regions of fundamental functional importance: the anti-codon, which is responsible for specific mRNA codon recognition, and the 3' end, to which the tRNAs corresponding amino acid is attached (by aminoacyl-tRNA synthetases). tRNAs cope with the degeneracy of the genetic code in two manners: having more than one tRNA (with a specific anti-codon) for a particular amino acid; and 'wobble' base-pairing, i.e. permitting non-standard base-pairing at the 3rd anti-codon position.
Source: RNAcentral